UCUGGUUGAUCCUGCCAGUAGUCAUAUGCUUGUCUCAAAGAUUAAGCCAUGCAUGUCUAAGUAUAAGCAAUUUAUACAGUGAAACUGCGAAUGGCUCAUUAAAUCAGUUAUCGUUUAUUUGAUAGUUUCUUUACUACAUGGAAUACCUGUGGUAAUUCUAGAGCUAAUACAUGCUUAAAAUCCCAACUUACGAAGGGAUGUAUUUAUUAGAUAAAAAAUCAAUGUCUUCGGACUUCUGAUGAUUCAUAAUAACUUUUCGAAUCGCAUGGCUUUAUGCUGGCGAUGGUUCAUUCAAAUUUCUGCCCUAUCAACUUUUGAUGGUAGGAUAGUGGCCUACCAUGGUUUCAACGGGUAACGGGGAAUAAGGGUUCGAUUCCGGAGAGGGAGCCUGAGAAACGGCUACCACAUCCAAGGAAGGCAGCAGGCGCGCAAAUUACCCAAUCCUAAUUCAGGGAGGUAGUGACAAUAAAUAACGAUACAGGGCUUUAUGUCUUGUAAUUGGAAUGAGUACAAUUUAAAUACCUUAACGAGGAACAAUUGGAGGGCAAGUCUGGUGCCAGCAGCCGCGGUAAUUCCAGCUCCAAUAGCGUAUAUUAAAGUUGUUGCAGUUAAAAAGCUCGUAGUUGAACUUUGGGCUUGGAGAAUCGGUCCAACUUUGUUGUGUACUGUCUUCUCCAGGUCUUUCCUUCUGGUUCUCAUUUGGKGUUUACUCCAUUUGUUGAUCCAGGMUUUUUACUUUGAAAAAAUUAGAGUGUUCAAAGCAGGCGUUUUGCUCGAAUAUAUUAGCAUGGAAUAAUAGAAUAGGACGAUUGGUUCUAUUUUGUUGGUUUCUAGGACCAUCGUAAUGAUUAAUAGGGACGGUCGGGGGCAUCAGUAUUCAGUUGUCAGAGGUGAAAUUCUUGGAUUUACUGAAGACUAACUACUGCGAAAGCAUUUGUCAAGGACGUUUUCAUUAAUCAAGAACGAAAGUUAGGGGAUCGAAGAUGAUCAGAUACCGUCGUAGUCUUAACCAUAAACUAUGCCGACUAGGGAUCGGGCGGUGCCUUUUAUUGGCCCACUCGGCACCUUACGAGAAAUCAAAGUUUUUGGGUUCUGGGGGGAGUAUGGUCGCAAGGCUGAAACUUAAAGGAAUUGACGGAAGGGCACCACCCGGAGUGGMGCCUGCGGCUUAAUUUGACUCAACACGGGGAAMCUCACCAGGUCCAGACACAAGAAGCAUUGACAGCUUGAGAGCUCUUUCUUGAUUUUGUGGGUG
This 1255-nucleotide ribosomal RNA is filed under the name Hanseniaspora uvarum. RNAcentral describes it as "SSU rRNA". Lineage: Eukaryota; Fungi; Ascomycota; Saccharomycetes; Saccharomycodales; Saccharomycodaceae. The record is from RNAcentral.